UACGUAGGGUGCGAGCGUUGUUCGGAUUUACUGGGCGUAAAGCGCACGUAGGCGGAUCGUUAAGUCGGGGGUGAAAUCCUGGAGCUCAACUCCAGAACUGCCUUCGAUACUGGCGAUCUUGAGUCCGGAAGAGGUGAGUGGAACUCCUAGUGUAGAGGUGAAAUUCGUAGAUAUUCGGCGGAACACCAGUGGCGAAGGCGACUCACUGGCCCGAUACUGACGCUGAGGCGCGAAAGCGUGGGGAGCAAACAGG
RNAcentral lists this ribosomal RNA (253 nucleotides) under uncultured bacterium. RNAcentral's name for it is "partial 16S ribosomal RNA". It matches the Rfam family "Bacterial small subunit ribosomal RNA", at positions 524 to 776 of the family's 1533-position model. The record is from RNAcentral.